This 253-nucleotide ribosomal RNA is filed under the name uncultured bacterium. RNAcentral describes it as "partial 16S ribosomal RNA". It matches the Rfam family "Bacterial small subunit ribosomal RNA", at positions 524 to 776 of the family's 1533-position model. The record is from RNAcentral.
UACGGGGGGGGCAAGCGUUGUUCGGAAUUACUGGGCGUAAAGGGCUCGUAGGCGGCCAACUAAGUCAGACGUGAAAUCCCUCGGCUUAACCGGGGAACUGCAUCUGAUACUGGAUGGCUCGAGUUUGGGAGAGGGAUGCGGAAUUCCAGGUGUAGCGGUGAAAUGCGUAGAUAUCGGGAGGAACACCGGUGGCGAAGGCGGUUCUCUGGGCCUUACCUGACGCUGAGGAGCGAAAGCGUGGGGAGCGAACAGG